This 492-nucleotide ribosomal RNA is filed under the name Triticum aestivum (bread wheat). RNAcentral's name for it is "partial small subunit ribosomal RNA". Lineage: Eukaryota; Viridiplantae; Streptophyta; Magnoliopsida; Poales; Poaceae. The record is from RNAcentral.
AUGGCCAUCUUUGACGAGUUUUACGUUGGGAACAUCGACCUCGGUCUCCUCAACUAUGGGAUCAUUUUGCUCAGUCCCAAAGUGCCGGGGGCCUCCGACAUUUACCAGUUUUGUCCGAUCACGGUGAUCAAUGUGAUCUUCCGGAUUCUGGCGAAAGGGUACGCCAAUAGGGUGACCCUGCUAGCUGACCUCAUUACCCACCCCAACCAGUCCGCCUUCGUGCGAGGGCGGUAUAUCUUGGAUGGGGUGCUAGUUCUCCAUGAAGUCCUCCACGAGGUCCGGUCUAAACACCUCAAGGCGGUCUUCCUGAAAAUCGACUUUCAUAAGGCCUACGACAAUGUUAGUUGGUCCUUCCUUCGGGAAGUUUUGCUCCGGAAGGGCUUCGAUGAUCGAUGGAUCACCCGGGUGAUGCAAAAUGGUGUCCUGCGGUCGUACCGCCAUGAACAUCAAUGGGGAGAUUGGCCCCUACUUCCCCACCCCGUGUGGGGUUAG